ACCCAUCCCAACAACCAAAAUGACCCCUUAAGUCUAUGAGUUACGUAACUAAACGACCUCUUUCUACAAACAUUAUGUUUGUAUACAAAUAAAGGGUCAAAGACCCUAAGGCGCCGUCUGCUCCUUCUCUGCAUUUUUGCCUAAAUCAGUAACGGAACAGUGUACGUCCAUGUAGCUACUUUGUUGUUCGUCCAUUUUGGGCAAGAGAAAUUAAUGCUCUUUCUCUCUCUCAUCCAUCUCAACCGUAGAAACACCAAGAGGUGUGGAGGAGAAGAGGAUUUCCCCAUUGUUCCAUUUUCGACCUUGGCUAUAACCACAAAAGGUAAAUUUUCAUCCUUUAAGUUAUUUUCAGUUAUUUUGGGUUGUUUAUCCCAUCAUUUGUUGUUGUUUUUUUUUUUGGUGAUUAGGCUAAGUUUUGUGUCUGUUUCUAUUUAGCAUGUCUAUUCAUGUUUUACUUGUUAAUAGAUAAGGUAUGUAAUUAGUAGCUCAUAAGCCUGUUAUUAGUUUCAGAA
Long non-coding RNA from Lycium ferocissimum, 512 nucleotides. RefSeq lists it as uncharacterized. The transcript is spliced from 2 exons. Lineage: Eukaryota; Viridiplantae; Streptophyta; Magnoliopsida; Solanales; Solanaceae. The record is from RefSeq and is a predicted model, not a curated record.